UGCCCCUCCCCCUUUGCGCCGACUCACGCAAAAACCGCAAAUCGUGCGUGGUGGGGGAGACUCGAGUUUGACAUUCUUGGUGGAUUUCAAGAGAAGUUCCCUUUUACGCAACGCAACAUCCGGUCAGACAAUUCACAACAGUCGUGCGAGAUGGUCACUCCCAAUAACCGAGAACGAGUUGAAAGCCCUGCUUGGAAGAGGAAUUAGAGCUCCGGGAAAAGGAAAAAGCCCUUGAGGACAGAAAGAAGCGCUUGGAUGAUGAAAGAAAGAGGAUUGAAAAGGACAAGGAGGAAUGGAGUGCCCACGAGAAGAAGGUGCUCGAAGAGUCAAAACUCCUUUCGAUCCGAGAAAAGGAGCUGGAUGAAAAGGAGAGGGAGCUGAAGGAAGCCCUGGAUGCUUAUAUAUUGGUUUCGACGCCCGGCGGGCCCGGGAGUAUGAACAGGUCCAGAGGGACAAAGACGCCCGGCGUGCCCAUGCAGGACGAUAGCAGGAUCCCGAUAUGGCGUUGUACUUUUAAUGUUCCAAUGACACGUUGCUUUCAUUUAAGUUAAUGUUCAAAAUAUAAAUAAUUAGCUACA
Molecule: long non-coding RNA, 578 nt
Organism: Neocloeon triangulifer
Lineage: Eukaryota; Metazoa; Arthropoda; Insecta; Ephemeroptera; Baetidae
Exons: 3
Source: RefSeq, a predicted model, not a curated record